This is a long non-coding RNA of Gadus macrocephalus (Pacific cod), 326 nucleotides long. RefSeq lists it as uncharacterized. The transcript is spliced from 3 exons. NCBI's taxonomy places the organism in Eukaryota, Metazoa, Chordata, Actinopteri, Gadiformes, Gadidae. The record is from RefSeq and is a predicted model, not a curated record.
CUCCUCCUGGGGGGCUAUAGGUCACGUAUCUCCUCCCUAAGGGGGCUAUAGGUCACGUUUCUCCUCCUGGGGGGCUAUAGGUCACGUUUCUCCUCCCUAGGGGCUAUAGGGCAGGAUUACCCUCCCUCCCUAAGGGGGGCUAUAGGCCAGGAUUAGCCACGUUUAGGAGGCACAGGCCCCCUUGAUCCCGGAUGUCAAACAGAAAAAUGUGUCCUAUUUCCCACCCUUUGAGGGAAAUGGGACAAGGGAGAUGGGGGUGGGGGUCUUAAGCGGCGAAGACAUUCACCCAUCCAAGCAUUUCCAACGUAGCAAGAUCUGUGUCUGGU